Molecule: ribosomal RNA, 484 nt
Filed under: uncultured bacterium
Lineage: Bacteria
Description: bacterial SSU rRNA
Rfam family: Bacterial small subunit ribosomal RNA
Source: RNAcentral
CGGGGACCCGCACAAGCGGUGGAUGAUGUGGAUUAAUUCGAUGCAACGCGAAAACCUUACCUACCCUUGACAUGUCAGGAUCCUGGAGAGAUCUGGGAGUGCUCGCAAGAGAACCUGAACACAGGUGCUGCAUGGCUGUCGUCAGCUCGUGUCGUGAGAUGUUGGGUUAAGUCCCCGCAACGAGCGCAACCCCUUGUCAUUAAUUGCCAUCAUUCAGUUGGGCACUUUAAUGAGACUGCCGGUGACAAACCGGAGGAAGGUGGGGAUGACGUCAAGUCCUCAUGGCCCUUAUGGGUAGGGCUUCACACGUCAUACAAUGGUCGGGUUCAGAGGGGUUGCCAACCCCGCGAGGGGGGAGCCAAUCUCAGAAAGCCGAUCGUAGUCCGGAUCGCAGUCUGCAACUCGACUGCGUGAAGUCGGAAUCGCUAGUAAUCGCGGAUCAGCAUGUCGCGGUGAAUACGUUCCCGGGUCUUGUACACACCGC